Molecule: small RNA, 153 nt
Filed under: Lupinus albus (white lupine)
Lineage: Eukaryota; Viridiplantae; Streptophyta; Magnoliopsida; Fabales; Fabaceae
Source: RNAcentral
AGGUGCGAUCAUACCAGCACUAAUGCACCGGAUCCCAUCAGAACUCCGCAGUUAAGCGUGCUUGGGCGAGAGUAGUACUAGGAUGGGUGACCUCCUGGGAAGUCCUCGUGUUGCACCUCUUUUUUUCACGGGAGGGUAGCAUUAACGGACUCG